UUUUAUUUGUCUAUUCUGUUUUUUUUAAUUCCCCAAAUUUUUCACAUGUUUUAAUGACUUCCAAGUACAACAUAUAUAAAUACAAUUCUACAAACAAAACUGGACCGUAGAGAGUAUACAUCUAAUCAAUAUAUUUGUUAGAGUCAAAUAUUAAAGUCCAACCUAAUUGGUUUACGUAGUUGUAACCAAAUUGAACUAGUGUUAAGAGUUCUGAUUAAUUAGGUAUUUCUCGAGCAUUAAGGAAUAGUGAAAUACAAAUUAAUUUCUAGGGAACUUUAACGAAAAGUUUCCGGUAUUGUUCAUUUUAAUGAAAAACCACAUUUACACUAAAAAAUCAAUCCUAGUACUAUUCACUUUUCAUUAGUUUUCUUAAUUUCUAUUGGUUAAGAGGUUCCUGCAUGGAAGACAAUUUUAUGGUCUUUAGUAUUCGAGUGAUAGGCUCACUAGGGUUUUUAGAAUCCAUUAGUCAGCACGAUUUUAGGGCCUGUUGACUUUAUAAAUUUGAGGUCUCUAUUAGAACUCCCCAUCAAUGUUCAUUAUAUAAGGAGCAGCAGUGCAUAGAAGUGCUUCAAUCUAUUUCGUCCUGAAUUCGCCACAAAAUGUAUUACAAGAAAUAAAAUUCUCUUGAAGGUGAUAGAUACUAGAGAAUUUUGAGAAUCAUAAAAUUAGUGUGAUGAGUGUUAAUCAGUUUAAAAUUGUUCUGAAAACCUAAAAAAUGAAAUUGGAGAAAAACUUAUUCCUUUAUAACAUUUACAUGACAUGCCACAAUACCAAUAUACUUUUGUCAUACAAAUCCUUCACUGAAAAUUGACGUCCUCCCUUACGUUAUCUGGAAAAUAAACAAACCAAAAGGGUGCAUUAGUUUUUAGCACUCAGCACCAGCAGCCGUCUCCCCACUAUAAAACAUUACAAAUAAAAUAAAUAAUCCUUAAAUGCAUGGAUCCCUAGUAAUCAUCAUAACUUCAAACCUAAAGGAAGGGAAUGAAAGGAAGGGAAGACCAAGCCACAAAGUGAUACUCCCUUGAAACCUAAAGAAGAACCCUACGCUUACAUAAGGAGGAAGAGAAACCAUUGGAGGGAAAAAUACAGAUGAGAUUAGAGUAACACAAAGAGAGACAUAGAGAAAACGUAGUGAGAGAGAACUACCCAGGAAAAAGCCCAGAAAGUUCCACUUAGCCCAGAAGCAUACUCCAAGCCCCAAGCAUCACCAUCCAUGCAACCUUAGUAAUUUUCGUAGCUUUACAUCAAACAUCCCGGCCAUUAGAAACCUAACUAUCACCCUAGGAAAGCCUAGAUUAUCUAGCAAAGAAUGUCAUGCAACCAUACAAAUCCCUUCUCUCUCAUGUAAAUUGAUAAUCUUCUAGCUUUCACACCACGCUUCACUUGAGCAAGUCAUUAUCUUGAUCUUACACGCUAUCUUCGAGUUGUUGAUAUUACCAGGGUAUUUUCUAAGACAAGCUAUCUCUUUUGAGAUAUCAUGAGACUUGUUAUGAAUCUGCACCAAGAGAGACAAGAGGACGUUCUCAAAGCCCAAGUCCACUUCGACCUAAAAGUCCCCCAACAGAUGUCAAACCACCCCCUCCUCUCUUGUAGUUUUAUUUGUUUUCUUAAGAGGGACAUGUUUAUGUCUCUCUCUCUUUUCUUGUACAUUUUACUUUAUUAUUUUUUCUUAUAUUACGACCCUAAUUAAGUGUAACUUCUCUUUUUGAUUUAAUAAAAUUUCUCUCGUAUCAUCGAGAUUCUUCUAAAAAAAUUAAAAAAAAAUAGAAAAAGAAAGAAAGUAGCUUACUCCAUACAAAUACAAGGUCGGUAUGUGAGUUAUAGGGCAAGUAUAUUAAAAAAAGGGUCAAUUUCAUACAACUGCAGUUUAUUUAGGAUCUAAUUAUUGGGAAAUAUUGACAUUAUUGUUUUCAUGCAUGGAAAACUAGAUGUAAAAUUGAGGGAUUAUGAUUCUUUCCCUUCCUCUCACAUUCUUUAUUUCAUCUUUCUCUUUCUAUAAAAAAAUUAAUAUAAGAUGUUGACGUAGUUUAACUAUGACCGUUCAAAUAAGAGGGGAGGAAAGAGGAGGGAAAAAAAAAGGAAGAGAAUGCUACUCCAAAAUUGAGAUGAGCUAAACUUUGAAGCCAACAUUUAUUAAUAAAAAUGAUUUUAUUUGUCUAUUCUGUUUUUUUUAAUUCCCCAAAAUUUUCGGGAAAUUUGGAAAAAUAACCACAAUUUGGACCUCAUAUAGAAUUAUAGCCACCCUUUUAAAUUUAUGAUAAUUAUAACCAAAAGUUGACAUAAAAAUACUAAUAUACCCUUAAAAUUACCAAAACGCAAAAUUAAAAUAUGCAAACCACUGUAGACGGAUUCAACGGAUUCCCCUUCCCCUUCAAUUGGAUUCGAAGUCAGAGCCUUUGAACACAAAAUUCCUAAAUCAUUUAAGCUAUCACAUUUCAAGCUCUUUUAGUUCUUCUUCAAUCGUAUAUGAAUCCAAUUGACGAUUUUGGUCUUCUAUUUUUUCUUUUUCUACUCCCCAUUCUUUUACUUAUGUCUUCCAAAACUUAACAACGUUCUGAACAAAAAAAAUUGUUAGAAGUGGGUCUUUUUAUCGGCUUUCUUCCAAGUUUAUGAUGGAAUAAAUCAAAAUUAACAAAUUCUAUUUGUUUCGUCAGAUUUCAAGAUGGAAAAUAAUUUGGGGAUUCACAAAUGGUGCCAAAAGGAAUAAAUUUGAACCCAAAUCAGCGAUCUGGGGACUAGGAUUUUUGUAGCCCCUCUGGUUUGUUUUCAAAUCUUUUUUAUCUUGAAGGUCGAUUUUUUCAUGGUUAAGAGCAGCAAAUGAGGAAUGUUUUAGCCAUUAGGGGUAUUUUAGUACUUUUAUAUCAACUUUUGGUUAUAAUUAUCAUAAAUUUAACAUUGUGGCUAUAAUUCUAUAUGAGAUCUAAAUUCUGGUUAUUUUUCCAAAUUUCUCAAAAUUUUCACAUGUUUUAUUGACUACCAAGUACAACAUAUAUAAAUACAAUUCUACAAAGAAAACUGGACCGUAGGAGUAUACAUCUAAUCAAUAUAUUUGUUAGAGUCAAAUAUUAAAGUCCAACCUAAUUGGUUUACGUAGUUGUAACCAAAUUGAACUAGUGUUAAGAGUUCUGAUUAAUUAGCUAUUUCUCGAGCAUUAAGGAAUAGUGAAAUACAAAUUAAUUUCUAGGGAACUUUAACGAAAAGUUUCCGGUAUUGUUCAUUUUAAUGAAAAACCAUAUUUUUAAACUAAAAAAUCAAUCCUAGUACUAUUCACUUUACCUUUUAUUUUGUUCUUAUCAUUAAAACUCAAAGUUUACAAUCACUUUUCAUUAAUUUUCCUUAAUUUCUAUUGGUUAAGAGGUUCCUGCAUGGAAGACAAUUUUAUGGUCUUUAGU
Molecule: long non-coding RNA, 3392 nt
Filed under: Malus domestica (apple)
Lineage: Eukaryota; Viridiplantae; Streptophyta; Magnoliopsida; Rosales; Rosaceae
Description: long non-coding RNA (MDOM_LNC004362)
Source: RNAcentral